Long non-coding RNA from Astatotilapia calliptera (eastern happy), 357 nucleotides. The record is from Ensembl. Lineage: Eukaryota; Metazoa; Chordata; Actinopteri; Cichliformes; Cichlidae.
GUGAGAGAAGACUCCAAACCUCCCUCCACCCGCUCAUUGUAGUGUUGAUGCAUGUUAAAUGUAAUCUUAAUUAGAAAGCAUGCAUAUCGAUACUGGCUGCAGAUUUAAUAUUUUCUGCUUAAUUUCUAAAUGCAAGACACAUUUUACAGAUAAAUAAAGAGGCCAUGGGCUGAUAGGAUACUGGGUGCUUGGAGGCAGUUGUUGGACCAUACAAGGUAUAAGAUUCCUCUUUUUGAACACUGCAGGGGUCAAGGUGGCUUUCUGAUGAGCACUCAAGCAGUUACUGUCACCGUCUGGCUGGCAGACCGUGGGGAUGAGGAAAGUAGGACCCAAAACGCAGGACUCUGCAAUGCCACA